RNAcentral lists this ribosomal RNA (253 nucleotides) under uncultured bacterium. RNAcentral's name for it is "partial 16S ribosomal RNA". It matches the Rfam family "Bacterial small subunit ribosomal RNA", at positions 524 to 776 of the family's 1533-position model. The record is from RNAcentral.
UACGAGGGCCUCAAGCGUUAUCCGGAAUCAUUGGGCUUAAAGGGUGUGUAGGUGGUCGAGUUAGUCUCACGUUAAAUUUUGCGGCCUAACCGUAAACAUGCGUGGGAAACGGCUCGACUUGAGCGUGCAAGGGGUCUCUGGAACUCUAGGUGUAGCGGUGAAAUGCGUAGAUAUCGAGAGGAACACCUGCGGCGAAGGCGGGUUGCUGGGCUGACACUGACGCUGAGGCGCGAAAGCCAGGGGAGCGAACGGG